GAUGAACGCUGGCGGCAUGCCUAACACAUGCAAGUCGAGCGGACGGACGGGAAUUGCUCCUGGCUUCAGCGGGGGGCGGGUGAGUGAUGCCCAGGAGUAUGCCCGGCAGAGGGGGCUGACAUCCGGUAGCGAGAGCGAAUACAACAUCCGAUAAGAUUGAGAAAGGGGGGGUUCUUAGGACAUAGCGCUUUUUGAUGACCCUAGGAGGGAUUAGCUCGUUGGUGGGGUAAAGGCCUACCAAGACGACGAACCGAAGCAGGACUGAGAGGAUGAUCAGCCACACUGGAACUGAGACACGGUCCAGACUCCUACGGGAGGCAGCAGUAGGGAAUAUUGGGCAAUGGGCGAAAGCCUGACGCAGCCAUGCCGCGUGUGUGAAGAAGGUCUUCGGAUUGUAAAGCACUUUUAGUUGGGAGGAAGAGCAGUAAGUUAAUACGUUGCGGUCUUGACGGUACCAACAGAAAAAGCACCGGCUAACUACGUG
This 484-nucleotide ribosomal RNA is filed under the name uncultured bacterium. RNAcentral describes it as "partial 16S ribosomal RNA". It matches the Rfam family "Bacterial small subunit ribosomal RNA", at positions 28 to 507 of the family's 1533-position model. The record is from RNAcentral.